RNAcentral lists this transfer RNA (64 nucleotides) under Stenus clavicornis. RNAcentral describes it as "tRNA-Tyr". The record is from RNAcentral. Lineage: Eukaryota; Metazoa; Arthropoda; Insecta; Coleoptera; Staphylinidae.
AAUAAAAUGGCUGAGUCUAAGCGAUAAAUUGUAAAUUUAUUUACGAAUCUAAAUUCUUUUAUUA